CAUUUGUUCAUCAACCGUCAAAAUGGCAACUAUGUUUUAUCACGUUUUUACCAAUCCCGAAUUUCGAGCAGCUGCUCAAUUUGAACACGAGAUAAAGGAGCAUGCAAUAUGCAAAUCCGACGUAAGAUUAGAUGGUAAAGUUGCUCUUGUUACUGGAGGAACUUCUGGAAUAGGGAAAGAAUGUGUAAGAGAGUUCGUGCGAAGGGGCGCAAAAGUUAUUUUACCUUGUAGAUACAGACCGAAAGGUAAAGCUGCGAAAGAAGAAAUUGAAAACGAUACUGGCAAGUUCGGUCAAGUAAUUCUUAUGGAUUUGGAUUUAUCGUCGAUGAAAAGUGUACGAAAAUUUGCUGAUCAAUUUAACAAACAGGAGAGUAGGCUAGAUAUCUUAAUAAAUAAUGGCGGCAUAAUGAAAGCAUUGAACACUCAUACAAGUGAAGGUUUUGAAACUAUUAUUGCAACAAAUUAUCUUGGUCACUUUCUUCUCACGCACCUAUUAAUGGAUCUAUUGAAGAAAAGUGCUCCAAGUAGAAUAAUAAACGUUUCUUCUUCGGCUCACUUUUCUGGAACAGAUAUGAUGUUUAAAGAUUUUCAUAUCAAAUCAGGUUGUUUUGGACCUUCGAAUUUUUAUCUCUAUUGCAGAAGCAAAGCGGCUAACGUUAUGCACGCAAGACAAUUGCAAGAACUUUACGGAAGUACUAUAUUUCUUUCAUUAAUAAAACUUCAUGAUCAUUGCUGCUCAUUUAAACAAUUAUUUCCAUAGACUUAGGCGUAACAGCGUAUAGUUGCCAUCCAGGUACAGUCCAUACAGAAAUUACGCGAUACUAUACAUUUCUUAAUGACUUUUCAAGCUACAUUCUCUUUAAGGUAAUUUUAUAAAGAUGACAUACCGUUUAAUCUCUUAAUACUAUCAUAAUUCUAAUUUUCUUUUUAAAUUAGUAGAUAUGGUAAAAGUACUGUUAUAGUAUUUAACAUACUAACUAUCAGUGUUAUAUAGCACUAUUGUUUUAUCCGUUAGCAUGACUAAGCUCUUUGAAGAGCUAAAUAUAUAAAAAGUUUAGAUAGAUAAUUAACUUGUAACAUUUCAAUUCAAUUUUUAAAAUAUAUAAUUUAUCUUUUUUAAACAGACUCUUGAUUGUUGGAAUCCAAUGGUGCAAAUUGGUAAAACACCUAAACAAGGCUCUCAAACUCCUCUAUAUUGUAGCUUGCAAAGAGGCUUAGAAUCGAAAGCAGGCAGAUAUUUUGUAGAAUGCGAGGAGUACGAGAUGUCAAAAUUGUGUAAUGAUGACAAAGCUUGCAAAGUCUUAUGGGAUUUCACCAAAAAAGAACUUGGAAUCGAAUAAGUCAGUGCACCCUUCAUGAACUGAUACAUUUUUUUUUCUUUGCAAUGAUCGUACUUGCUGAUCUAAUAAGAAGAUACUUUAUCAUUUUUAUAUCAUUCUAAGACAUUAUAGUCAUAUAACAAAAUUAUCGAACUAAUUCGUUGCGUAGAGGUUUCUAUUGAUGAAUAAACACUAUUAGUUUAGAAAUAAAUGCAUGACUGGCUCCGCAAG
This 1550-nucleotide unclassified non-coding RNA is filed under the name Dimorphilus gyrociliatus. RNAcentral's name for it is "dgyrCDS8992". The record is from RNAcentral. Lineage: Eukaryota; Metazoa; Annelida; Polychaeta; Dinophilidae.